AGGCAAGCCAAGCUGUGAGGAGUCUGUGGGUCAUGGCUUUGGCAGCGUGGAACCUGGGACAUAGAGUCCCCCUUGAUACGGCUGUUCGGCAGACCAACUUUGUUGUAAAUAUUUAGAUAAAAAUGGGCUUUAGAGCAGCCACAUCUGAAGACCCACAAGGCUGAAUGUUACACAGGGGGAGCACCACUAUUUAAUCUGAACAUCUGGAAUCCAUCAUGUGUAGUGAAGGACAAGAUGUAUCCUCAUUUUUAAGCCAACUCCAUGAUAAAACUGAUGGAUGGGACCAAUGUGUACAGGUGAAGAAGAUUGAUACUUAAGAUCUGUAUGUUGUGAUAGGAAGA
Molecule: long non-coding RNA, 341 nt
Filed under: Pan troglodytes (chimpanzee)
Lineage: Eukaryota; Metazoa; Chordata; Mammalia; Primates; Hominidae
Description: long non-coding RNA NONPTRT009122
Source: RNAcentral